CUCGUGGCUACAAAGAUGAUGAUCAGGAUGUUUCCAGACAAUGAUGAGAUAUAGACUAUGAAACACAGGCAGAAAAAGAUAUACUGGAAGUUGUGAAGGUCUCCAAAUCCAAUGAGCAAAAAUUCAUUGACUGUUUCAUUCUUCAUGAUCAUAAUGUUUAGAUAUCAGGACAACAAAAUGGAAGGCUAUAUGGAUAGGGAAAGGCAGGAGAACAAGGACUACCAAGAAUGCC
Molecule: non-coding RNA, 232 nt
Organism: Pelobates cultripes (western spadefoot toad)
Lineage: Eukaryota; Metazoa; Chordata; Amphibia; Anura; Pelobatidae
Source: the annotation of a GenBank genome assembly